RNAcentral lists this ribosomal RNA (253 nucleotides) under uncultured bacterium. RNAcentral's name for it is "partial 16S ribosomal RNA". It matches the Rfam family "Bacterial small subunit ribosomal RNA", at positions 524 to 776 of the family's 1533-position model. The record is from RNAcentral.
UACGGAGGGGGUUAGCGUUGUUCGGAAUGACUGGGCGUAAAGAGCUCGUAGGCGGUUUGUCGCGUCUGCUGUGAAAACCCGAGGCUCAACCUCGGGCCUGCAGCGGGUACGGGCAGACUAGAGUGCGGUAGGGGAGAUUGGAAUUCCUGGUGUAGCGGUGGAAUGCGCAGAUAUCAGGAGGAACACCAAUGGCGAAGGCAGAUCUCUGGGCCGUAACUGACGCUGAGGAGCGAAAGCAUGGGGAGCGAACAGG